GAUGAAGAACGUAGCGAAAUGCGAUAAGUAAUGUGAAUUGCAGAAUUCAGUGAAUCAUCGAAUCUUUGAACGCACAUUGCGCCCGCCAGUAUUCUGGCGGGCAUGCCUGUUCGAGCGUCAUUUCAACCAUCAAGCCCCCGGCGUGUGUUGGGGACCUGCGGCUGCCGCAGGCCCUGAAAAGCAGUGGCGGGCUCGCUGUCACACCGAGCGUAGUAGCAUACAUCUCGCUCUGGGCGUGCUGCGGGUUCCGGCCGUUAAACCACCUUCAUAACCCAAGGUUGACCUCGGAUCAGGUAGGAAGACCCGCUGAACUUAAGCAUAUCAAUAAGCGGAGGA
This 336-nucleotide unclassified non-coding RNA is filed under the name soil metagenome. RNAcentral describes it as "partial contains 5.8S ribosomal RNA, internal transcribed spacer 2, and large subunit ribosomal RNA". The stretch from base 1 to 120 matches the Rfam family "5.8S ribosomal RNA", at positions 35 to 154 of the family's 154-position model. The record is from RNAcentral.